CCUAUUCACCAUGCCCGAUCCUAGGACUAGUGUUCAUAACCGCAACAACUGGCUCUACAAUCUGAACGAAACCCCCUCUCCUGCUAGAUCCACUGAAUCCAUCCAGGACUAUGAGAUUUGUGAUGACUAUGAGAUUUAUGAUGACCAGAUUCCUUAUGCUGAAUCAGAUCCUCAGACACCAUCUGGAUAUUAUGAUAUUGAUCCUCCUCCUCAACCUGCUCAGACCGAAGAAUCGGC
Molecule: long non-coding RNA, 237 nt
Filed under: Lathyrus oleraceus (garden pea)
Lineage: Eukaryota; Viridiplantae; Streptophyta; Magnoliopsida; Fabales; Fabaceae
Description: Pisum sativum (pea) long non-coding RNA (PSAT_LNC024018)
Source: RNAcentral